Molecule: ribosomal RNA, 468 nt
Filed under: uncultured bacterium
Lineage: Bacteria
Description: partial 16S ribosomal RNA
Rfam family: Bacterial small subunit ribosomal RNA
Source: RNAcentral
GACGAACGCUGGCGGCGUGCUUAACACAUGCCAGUCGAACGGAAAGGCCCUGCUUUUGUGGGGUUCUCGAGUGGCGAACGGGUGAGUAACACGUGAGUAACCUGCCCUUGACUUUGGGAUAACUUCAGGAAACUGGGGCUAAUACCGGAUAUGAGCUCCUGCUGCAUGUUGGGGGUUGGAAAGUUUCGGCGGUUGGGGAUGGACUCGCGGCUUAUCAGCUUGUUUGUGGGGUAGUGGCUUACCAAGGCUUUGACGGGUAGCCGGCCUGAGAGGGUGACCGGCCACAUGGGGACUGAGAUACGGCCCAGACUGCUACGGGAGGCAGCAGGGGGGAAUAUUGCACAAUGGGCGGAAGCCUGAUGCAGCAACGCCGCGUGCGGGAUGACGGCCUUCGGGUUGUAAACCGCUUUCGCCUGUGACGAAGCGUGAGUGACGGUAAUGGGUAAAGAAGCACCGGCUAACUACGUG